Molecule: long non-coding RNA, 667 nt
Organism: Hipposideros armiger (great roundleaf bat)
Lineage: Eukaryota; Metazoa; Chordata; Mammalia; Chiroptera; Hipposideridae
Exons: 3
Source: RefSeq, a predicted model, not a curated record
ACAACUGCAUCCCACAGAAGUGUCACUUAUGGAACUGUGAGCAGGCAGGCAGAUGUCACUGCGUCCUCUCAUCUGCGCUUAUUUUUCACAGAGCAUUAGCAGUCAAGGCAGGAAAUAGGAGUGCGGGCAGAAGGCUCCAGCCAGGGUGGGAAUGACUGCGUCAAAUGUCUCCCAAAGAGCACAAGACAAUUCCCUUAGUGUACAAAUCCCUUGAGGCUCCAGAAGAACAUAUGUGGUUUCUCUAACAAACGGCUCCUGCUCCCUCGCUUGCCGUGUUCACAGACCCUUUGCAUGAAAUCCUAUUGAAAAUCUUGAAGUAUAGAAGAGAACGUCAGAGGAACUGAGGCUGCAGCAGGUGAGCCUCAUCUGCCAGGUGCUGGCCUCCCCACUCCACGCCAUCCCGCUCCACUCAUCUCUCCGACUGCGCACAGCGCGAGUUUGAAAAGAAAUAAUAGGUUCUCAACAUAGUGUGUGCAGGAAUCACCUGGAAACUUACUAAUUAUGGAACAGUCCCCCUCAAAAAAUAGCAAGCCGAGCAAUUUGCCAUUUACCAUAUUUAUUGAGAAUUUAGAAAUACAGAAUGGUACAACAAUGAUAUCCUGAGAAAUACUAAUACUAAAGUAAUUAUUAAUUAAUAUUAAUACUAAACUGAGUGCAUCAUUCUGAA